This is a long non-coding RNA of Oryza brachyantha (malo sina), 1071 nucleotides long. RefSeq lists it as uncharacterized. The transcript has 3 exons. Lineage: Eukaryota; Viridiplantae; Streptophyta; Magnoliopsida; Poales; Poaceae. The record is from RefSeq and is a predicted model, not a curated record.
CGACCAGGACCCGCCGCCGCAGGAGUUCGUGCCGUUCCCCCAGAUCCCGCCCCCGGAACUCGCCAGCGUCGUCAAGUUCAUCCGCGAGAGUUUUCUGGGUGAGCAUGUGUAUGAUGUUCAGAGAGGCCAUGCUCUUGUUCUGGAGGACACUGCAACCCAUACGCUCGCGGCGCGCUCUCUGCUGCACCGUGAUCGUGAUACCUCGACUUCCAUGCCAAUAAACAAGAGAUCACCUCUUCAUGAAUAGGAUGGUGCAUGAGUGUGGCCAGUAUGCUCUCCUUCCAGAGGAGAUCAGGAGCAGUUCGUCAUGCUUCCACAGUGUGGAGGAUGGGCAUUCCUGUUUCUUUGUGAGCGUUUCAAGAAAUGCUCAUUGUAUAGGUGCAAAAUUAAUAGCACUAAAAGCUGGAAGUGCGCCGUUUGCAUCUGUGGCCUUUUCCUAUGCAGAUCUCCCUGAAUAUUUAGUGGAGGGGUACAUUGUUGGGCUAGGACUAACAGAUUGCACCUUGUUCACCAUUCGGCUUCCAGAAGAAACUUUAGUUUGCUGGGAAUUUCUACAAUUGGCACGUGUAGAGGGCUCUGGCACGGAUAUAACCUUCGAGUCUGGAAGCGCCAGUUAGAUGGUGAUGUUGCAUGUGAAUGGGAGAUGUCUCGCAACAUAUUUUUGCCUUGGGCAUUUGAAUGUCAUGACAAAAGGGUGUUGGAAUCAGUGGGAUGGACUCCGAAAAGGAGGGAGCGGCCCCGGUGUGUUAUUUAUUCAGUUGGUGAUGAUGCAGCUUUUGUAUUUCUUGGCGUUUUGGCUGAUGAGGGAUUGUACUAUUUGGACCUGAAGAACUUGGCGCUUGAGCUGGUUGGGAGCAUGGAUGGCAUGAUUAAUAACGCCAUUAUUCCUGUAAUGAUGGUUUGGUCAGCUGUCUUCCCAGCGCUAAGAGAAACUGAAUUACCUGCAGAGAAGAUAAAGGAGGUGGUUGUUGGUAUGAAUACAAGUCAUACUCAGAAGCUAUUGAAUCACACGCUCUCUCCUAAGAACGUACGUCGUCUCCCACUGAAAGCAUAAAGCCGUUGGAGCGAACC